AGAGUUUGAUCCUGGCUCAGAGCGAACGCUGGCGGCAGGCUUAACACAUGCAAGUCGAGCGGGCGUAGCAAUACGUCAGCGGCAGACGGGUGAGUAACGCGUGGGAACGUACCUUUUGGUUCGGAACAACCCAAGGAAACUUGGGCUAAUACCGGAUAAGCCCUUACGGGGAAAGAUUUAUCGCCGAAAGAUCGGCCCGCGUCUGAUUAGCUAGUUGGUGGGGUAAUGGCCCACCAAGGCGACGAUCAGUAGCUGGUCUGAGAGGAUGAUCAGCCACAUUGGGACUGAGACACGGCCCAAACUCCUACGGGAGGCAGCAGUGGGGAAUAUUGGACAAUGGGCGCAAGCCUGAUCCAGCCAUGCCGCGUGAGUGAUGAAGGCCCUAGGGUUGUAAAGCUCUUUUGUGCGGGAAGAUAAUGACGGUACCGCAAGAAUAAGCCCCGGCUAACUUCGUGCCAGCAGCCGCGGUAAUACGAAGGGGGCUAGCGUUGCUCGGAAUCACUGGGCGUAAAGGGUGCGUAGGCGGGUCUUUAAGUCAGGGGUGAAAUCCUGGAGCUCAACUCCAGAACUGCCUUUGAUACUGAAGAUCUUGAGUUCGGGAGAGGUGAGUGGAACUGCGAGUGUAGAGGUGAAAUUCGUAGAUAUUCGCAAGAACACCAGUGGCGAAGGCGGCUCACUGGCCCGAUACUGACGCUGAGGCACGAAAGCGUGGGGAGCAAACAGGAUUAGAUACCCUAGUAGUCC
RNAcentral lists this ribosomal RNA (744 nucleotides) under uncultured bacterium. RNAcentral's name for it is "bacterial SSU rRNA". It matches the Rfam family "Bacterial small subunit ribosomal RNA", at positions 8 to 796 of the family's 1533-position model. The record is from RNAcentral.